GAUGAACGCUGGCGGCGUGCCUAAUACAUGCAAGUCGAGCGAACGGACGAGAAGCUUGCUUCUCUGAUGUUAGCGGCGGACGGGUGAGUAACACGUGGAUAACCUACCUAUAAGACUGGGAUAACUUCGGGAAACCGGAGCUAAUACCGGAUAAUAUUUUGAACCGCAUGGUUCAAAAGUGAAAGACGGUCUUGCUGUCACUUAUAGAUGGAUCCGCGCUGCAUUAGCUAGUUGGUAAGGUAACGGCUUACUAAGGCAACGAUGCAUAGCCGACCUGAGAGGGUGAUCGGCCACACUGGAACUGAGACACGGUCCAGACUCCUACGGGAGGCAGCAGUAGGGAAUCUUCCGCAAAGGGCGAAAGCCUGACGGAGCAACGCCGCGUGAGUGAUGAAGGUCUUCGGAUCGUAAAACUCUGUUAUUAGGGAAGAACAUAUGUGUAAGUAACUGUGCACAUCUUGACGGUACCUAAUCAGAAAGCCACGGCUAACUACGUG
Molecule: ribosomal RNA, 497 nt
Filed under: uncultured bacterium
Lineage: Bacteria
Description: partial 16S ribosomal RNA
Rfam family: Bacterial small subunit ribosomal RNA
Source: RNAcentral